AUGAUGAUUUCGACAAAGCUGAUUGCAUGGCUCAAAAGUCCAACUACACAGGAUCAUUCUCUCAUGCUACACCAGAGGCUGAGUGACCUUUACGGUUGGAGAAGUUAUUGGAGAGCCUUCAUUUGUAUUACCAGGCCUCCAUAAUUGUCCACAUGGAUGAAGUACCAUAUUUCACCAAAUCUAAGUGUGCCACACACAUCUUUUCCACUAAUACUAUCCCACGUCCAAGGCAACCAAAAAAAAGCCCCAUUACAAAAAAAGACUAUGUUUAAAGACUACACAUGACUUGAAAGGAAUAAAAGAGACCAACUAAGUUUGGACCCAAACAGUAAAUGCAGCGGUAUGUUGUUUAGUU
Molecule: long non-coding RNA, 355 nt
Filed under: Anolis carolinensis (green anole)
Lineage: Eukaryota; Metazoa; Chordata; Lepidosauria; Squamata; Anolidae
Description: lncRNA (ENSACAG00000042641.1)
Source: RNAcentral